UUCUCAUUUUCGCUUAGUGCAAGUUGGUUGUAAGAGGUUGACCCACACGCCUUACCGCUGCCGUCAAGGAUCAAUUAAGCAAAAUGAUAACCAGCAGUAUGAUAGCUCUGUGGCUGAUGACUUUCAAGUAAAUGAUGAACACAAGCAAACAGACGUUGAUAUUGAGCUAGAGAAUCUUAUAUUUGAAUGCAGAGGACUUUUGGCUUCAGAGAAAGAGGAUGCCAAGAAAUGGUCUGAUCGCAUGGAAGAGCUUCAUUCUCUUUGGGAAAAUAAUAGA
This is a long non-coding RNA of Xenia sp. Carnegie-2017, 277 nucleotides long. RefSeq lists it as uncharacterized. The record is from RefSeq and is a predicted model, not a curated record. Lineage: Eukaryota; Metazoa; Cnidaria; Anthozoa; Malacalcyonacea; Xeniidae. The transcript has 3 exons.